RNAcentral lists this ribosomal RNA (254 nucleotides) under uncultured bacterium. RNAcentral describes it as "partial 16S ribosomal RNA". It matches the Rfam family "Bacterial small subunit ribosomal RNA", at positions 524 to 776 of the family's 1533-position model. The record is from RNAcentral.
UACGGAGGGUGCAAGCGUUGUCCGGAAUUAUUGGGCGUAAAGCGCACGUAGGCGGUUCUUUAAGUCUCAUGGUGAAAGGCUGGGGCUCAACCCCAAGCAAGCCGGGGAUACUGGAGGACUGAAGACAGGCAGAGGCCAGCGGAAUUCCGGGUGUAGCGGUGGAAUGCGUAGAGAUCCGGAAGAACACCGGAGGCGAAGGCGGCUGGCUGGGCCUGAUCUGACGCUGAGGUGCGAAAGCGUGGGGAGCGAACAGG